CAAUAGCGUAUAUUUGAGUUGCUGCAGUUAAAAAGCUCGUAGUUGGAUUUCGGGUAGGAAUGGCCGGUCCGCCGUUUCGGUGUGCACUUGCUACGCCCACCUUGCUGCCGGGGACGUGCUCUUGAGUUCACGCUCGGGACACGGAGUCGGCGAGGUUACUUUGAGUAAAUUAGAGUGUUCAAAGCAGGCCUACGCUCUGAAUACAUUAGCAUGGAAUAACACGAUAGGACUCUGGCCUAUCUUGUUGGUCUGUAGGACCGGAGUAAUGAUUAAGAGGGACAGUCGGGGGCAUUCGUAUUUCAUUGUCAGAGGUGAAAUUCUUGGAUUUAUGAAAGACGAACUACUGCGAAAGCAUUUGCCAAGGAUGUUUUCAUUAA
RNAcentral lists this ribosomal RNA (377 nucleotides) under uncultured eukaryote. RNAcentral describes it as "partial 18S ribosomal RNA". It matches the Rfam family "Eukaryotic small subunit ribosomal RNA", at positions 592 to 976 of the family's 1831-position model. The record is from RNAcentral.